This is a non-coding RNA of Parabacteroides merdae CAG:48, 107 nucleotides long. Lineage: Bacteria; Pseudomonadati; Bacteroidota; Bacteroidia; Bacteroidales; Tannerellaceae. The record is from Rfam.
UGCACCCGGGUAAGUCCUACACGGCAUGCUCCCUCGGAAUCCCCCAGGGUUUGACCGCAGCAAGGGUACUUGGUUGUAGCGGCGCGAUGUAGUAAGCUUACCCACCU